GAACGUUCACUCCUAGUGCAACUCCCAUCAACUUGAAACAUAAAUUUGUCCAAUAAAAGAAACAAAAUACACAUUCUAAACAUCCAUUCUUAAUACCACAUCAAACUCAUGAUGAAAGGUUCCACCAGUUCAAGGUACAAAGGAAACCAUGACUACAAUAUAUACACACUAACAGAUCUUCCAAAACAACUUCCUAAUUCAACUCGAUCAUUCUUCAAACUUCAAUUCCUGUAAGGAAAACAAAGUUAAGGGGAUGAGCUUAUGUCCAGUGAGGUUUCCGUGCAAGCAACAAUCAAUAAACACUUAAACCAGAUAAGCCAAUAACAAAAUUAAGCAAUUAAGGAACACUUCACUGAACAAUCACUUUUGAAAGGAUACGGUGCUCGC
Molecule: long non-coding RNA, 387 nt
Filed under: Coffea arabica (coffee)
Lineage: Eukaryota; Viridiplantae; Streptophyta; Magnoliopsida; Gentianales; Rubiaceae
Description: long non-coding RNA (CARA_LNC007445)
Source: RNAcentral